Molecule: non-coding RNA, 36 nt
Submitted as: unclassified sequences
Source: Rfam
AAGGUAGUAACCGAAAAACCUUUAACAGAGUAGGUA